Non-coding RNA from Siniperca chuatsi (mandarin fish), 552 nucleotides. NCBI's taxonomy places the organism in Eukaryota, Metazoa, Chordata, Actinopteri, Centrarchiformes, Sinipercidae. The record is from the annotation of a RefSeq genome assembly.
GUCCUCUAAGCUGAUUGGUGUCUCCUAGGUGAUGCCCGUCCCACCUUGACGGUGCUGCCCCCCUCAAGCGAGGAGCUGCAGCAGGGGAAGGCCACGCUCAUGUGCCUGGCCAACAAGGGCUUCCCCUCAGACUGGAGUCUGGCCUGGAAGGUGGACGGCAGCAGCAGCAGCAGCUGGGAGGAGAGCAGGAGCCCCGGGGUGCUGGAGAAGGACGGCCGCUACAGCUGGAGCAGCACCCUGAGGCUCCCUGCAGACCAGUGGAGGAAGGUGGGCUCUGUGACCUGUGAGGCCACCCAGGGCUGCCAGACUCCGCUCUCAGAGACACUGAGGAGAGACCAGUGUCCCUAGUCCUGACCUGACUCACUGGGACUCUGCUACUGGUUUUACUCUGCUACUGCUCUCAGGCUGCACUCUGCAACACUGUCUCUCUCUUUCUGUCAUCAGAUCGUUUUAACAUUAUUCAACUUUAAGUAGUGACGUUUCAUUGUUGUAAUAAUGCUCAUGCUGUUAAUCCUGCAAGAAAAUAAAAACGUAAUUUCAAAUUAAAUCAUA